Stenotrophomonas maltophilia SKK35 is the source of this 103-nucleotide non-coding RNA. Lineage: Bacteria; Pseudomonadati; Pseudomonadota; Gammaproteobacteria; Lysobacterales; Lysobacteraceae. The record is from Rfam.
UAACACAACUCUGGAGAGACCGGUUCGAUCCGGCGCCGAAGGGGCACGAAGCUGCGGCCAGCCGCACUUCCAAACUCUCAGGCAAAAGGACAGAGGGGCGCCC